UUGGUUGUUUUCAAGUUAAAAAAAAAAAAAUCUAGAAUGCACUAGUUAUAUUGCUUACAUAACGUUUUCAAUCAAUAAAAUUAUAUUUUUUAGAUUCAUUUAUCCCAUCAUAAUUAAUAAAAAAAUAUUUUUAUUAUAUAUAUAUAUUAAAAAGAUUUCAUUGACUUGUUACUGAUGAUGAUGUAAUGUAAGUAUGACACAAUAAAAUUUUUUUGUUUUUAGGUGUUUGGCUUGUGUAUCCGCUGGCAUCUGAUUUCAGGUGUGCUUAAUUUGGCAGAGAUUUUAAUAAUUACUUUUACUAUGGUGAGAGGUAAAUGAGUUUUUAUAAUCUGUAUAGUAUUUUGAUAUAGUAUUAAUUGAUAAAGUGCCGAGUAAAUAGUACUUUCGAACAGAAUGUGACUAUAACAUUUGCGUAUAACCGACCGUCCCUAGAGCAAGUGGUAAAAGACUUGAUGGUUGGUAUCCGAGACCUAUAUUUGAAUCCUAAUUGAUUUACAUUUCUUACUAAGUUUAUUUCUAAAUAAAAUAAACGAAGUGAUUAGCGUGCUACCUAUCUCUCAAAAAAAAAAUAUUUGCGUAUAAAAGUGAGGCUUCGAAUUCUAUUUAUAGUCUAAAACAAUAUCAAAACACUCUACUGAAUAUAACUGUUAGUAAUA
RNAcentral lists this long non-coding RNA (656 nucleotides) under Ananas comosus (pineapple). RNAcentral describes it as "long non-coding RNA (ACOM_LNC005017)". Lineage: Eukaryota; Viridiplantae; Streptophyta; Magnoliopsida; Poales; Bromeliaceae. The record is from RNAcentral.